UUCUUGGUUGAUCCUGCUAGUAGCCAUAUGCUUGUCUCAAAGAUUAAGCCAUGCAUGUGUAAGUAUGAAUUAAUUCAGACUGUGAAAUUGUGAAUGGCUCAUUAAAUUAGUUAUAGUUUUUUUGAUGGUAGCUGCUACAAGGAUAACCGUAGUAUUUCUAGAUCUAAUGCGUACAACAAAACUCGACUUCUAGAAGGGAUACAUUUAUUAAAUAAAAGGUCGACGUGGGCUCCACCCGUUGCUACGAUGAUUCAUGAUAACUCGAUGGAUCGCAUGGCCCUCGCGCUGGAGACGCAUCAUUCAAAUUUUUACCCUAUCAACUUUCGAUGGUGGGAUAGUGGCCUACUAUGGUAGUGACGGGUGACAAAGAAUUAGGGUUUGAUUUUAGAGAUCGUCCCUUUUGUUGACAAUGUGCUCCUGGCCUUAACUAGUUGGGUCGUGCCUCCGGUGGUGUUACUUUGAAGAAAUUAGAGUGCUCAAAGCAAGCCUACGCUCUGGAUAUUUUAGCAUUGGAUAACAUUAUAGGAUUUCGGUCCUAUUACGUUGGCCUUUGGGAUUAGAGUAAUGAUUAAUAGGUACAAUCCGAGACAAUCGUAUUUCAUAGUCAGUGAUGAAAUUCUUGGGUUUAUGAAAGAUGAACAACUGCAAAAGCAUUUGCCAAGGAUGUUUUCAUUAAUCAAGAACGAAAGUUGGGGGCUCAAAGAUGAUCAGAUAUCGUCCUAGUCUCAACCAUAAAUGACGCCAACUAGGGAUCGACUAAUGUUGCUUAUAGGACUCCGCUGGCACCUUAUGAGAAAUCAAAGUUUUUAGGUUUCAGGGGGAGUAUGGUCACAAAGCUGAAACUUACCAGGUCCAGACAUAGUUAGGAUUGACA
This 874-nucleotide ribosomal RNA is filed under the name Olea europaea subsp. europaea. RNAcentral's name for it is "SSU_rRNA_microsporidia". It matches the Rfam family "Eukaryotic small subunit ribosomal RNA". Lineage: Eukaryota; Viridiplantae; Streptophyta; Magnoliopsida; Lamiales; Oleaceae. The record is from RNAcentral.